CGCAGCGUCACCUAACUGGUCAAGGUACUCGCCUCAUAAGCGGGGAUAUGUGGGUUCGAGUCCCACCGCUGCUACCA
This 77-nucleotide transfer RNA is filed under the name Nodosilinea foveolarum. RNAcentral's name for it is "tRNA-Met". It matches the Rfam family "tRNA". From Rfam's summary of the family: Transfer RNA (tRNA) molecules are approximately 80 nucleotides in length. Their secondary structure includes four short double-helical elements and three loops (D, anti-codon, and T loops). Further hydrogen bonds mediate the characteristic L-shaped molecular structure. tRNAs have two regions of fundamental functional importance: the anti-codon, which is responsible for specific mRNA codon recognition, and the 3' end, to which the tRNAs corresponding amino acid is attached (by aminoacyl-tRNA synthetases). tRNAs cope with the degeneracy of the genetic code in two manners: having more than one tRNA (with a specific anti-codon) for a particular amino acid; and 'wobble' base-pairing, i.e. permitting non-standard base-pairing at the 3rd anti-codon position. The record is from RNAcentral. Lineage: Bacteria; Bacillati; Cyanobacteriota; Cyanophyceae; Nodosilineales; Nodosilineaceae.